This 327-nucleotide long non-coding RNA is filed under the name Anser brachyrhynchus (Pink-footed goose). Its description in RNAcentral is "lncRNA (ENSABRG00000000459.1)". The record is from RNAcentral. Lineage: Eukaryota; Metazoa; Chordata; Aves; Anseriformes; Anatidae.
AUGUUGGCCUGGUGGAAAAGAUUUCUCACUCCUUUAGCAGUUCAGGAAAUGAAGGCAAAUGCCGUAUCGAAUGUGAAAGCAAAAAGUAGGAGUGAGCUAUCCAGAGGCAGAGGAACGGAGUCUUACCUGUUCGUGGUCCACCCACGUUUCCUGGCAUGCUUGGCAAUGCUUACAGUCAACGGUGGCUGGAAAGCCAAAGCCCCUUUGAGGAGGAAAUACUAUGAAGAUGAGAGACAGUAUCCAAGAAAGAUAGAAAAGUAGCCAUCGAGGGACAAUGUACACUUAAAAUAUAAUAAAUAUGUGGAACAGCAAAGUUGGAUGUUAGUA